GAGACGAAAGGAGACAGAGGAGAGAGGACAGAGGAGAAGGGGGACAGAGACAAAGAGGAGGGUGGAGAUAGUCAAAAGGAGAAUGAAUCAAACGGCUUAAUACCUAUGAGAAGGACUAUUAAGCUAAAAAGCAAGAAGAAAGAAGGAAGGCCCUUAGACUUGGAACAGUUCAGGCCUGCUCUCCGAAGUAAACUUAAUUUUAAGUGUAAAUUAAAGGCUUUAUGCAUUGUAAUUUAGGGCAGUUAGAACUCAUUGAAGAGGGCAGGAGGGAGAGGAUGGGGAGUAGUGAGGAGAUGGGAGAAGAAACAGAGACAGGAGAAGAGACAGAGACAGGCGAGGAGACAGGGACAGGAGAAGAGACUGGGACAGGGACAGAGAGAGACAAA
Molecule: long non-coding RNA, 386 nt
Organism: Amphimedon queenslandica
Lineage: Eukaryota; Metazoa; Porifera; Demospongiae; Haplosclerida; Niphatidae
Exons: 5
Source: RefSeq, a predicted model, not a curated record